GCCAUCUCUAUUUAUAUCUACAUUUAUCCCAUCAAAAGACUUAAUCCUAAUUAGAGUUGAACUUCCAGUCUAAGUCUUAUUAGAAAUAAAACUUUUUAAUUAAUUAGACUUACUGUAAUUAAUUUAGGACAUAUGGCUAACCUAAAGAGUUAAACAUGGCUAAGUGAUAAUUAGGUCAUAUUAGGAGUCAAAUCCAACAAAACAAUCAUCACUUCUACUAAUAAAAAGUAAUAGAUUUGCA
RNAcentral lists this long non-coding RNA (241 nucleotides) under Elaeis guineensis (African oil palm). RNAcentral's name for it is "long non-coding RNA (EGUI_LNC074257)". The record is from RNAcentral. Lineage: Eukaryota; Viridiplantae; Streptophyta; Magnoliopsida; Arecales; Arecaceae.